Molecule: ribosomal RNA, 493 nt
Filed under: Cladosporium sphaerospermum
Lineage: Eukaryota; Fungi; Ascomycota; Dothideomycetes; Cladosporiales; Cladosporiaceae
Description: eukaryotic LSU rRNA
Rfam family: 5.8S ribosomal RNA (bases 138-291)
Source: RNAcentral
GGCCGGGAUGUUCACAACCCUUUGUUGUCCGACUCUGUUGCCUCCGGGGCGACCCUGCCUCCGGGCGGGGGCCCCGGGUGGACAUUUCAAACUCUUGCGUAACUUUGCAGUCUGAGUAAAUUUAAUUAAUAAAUUAAAACUUUCAACAACGGAUCUCUUGGUUCUGGCAUCGAUGAAGAACGCAGCGAAAUGCGAUAAGUAAUGUGAAUUGCAGAAUUCAGUGAAUCAUCGAAUCUUUGAACGCACAUUGCGCCCCCUGGUAUUCCGGGGGGCAUGCCUGUUCGAGCGUCAUUUCACCACUCAAGCCUCGCUUGGUAUUGGGCGACGCGGUCCGCCGCGCGCCUCAAAUCGACCGGCUGGGUCUUUCGUCCCCUCAGCGUUGUGGAAACUAUUCGCUAAAGGGUGCCGCGGGAGGCCACGCCGUAAAACAACCCCAUUUCUAAGGUUGACCUCGGAUCAGGUAGGGAUACCCGCUGAACUUAAGCAUAUAAAA